This 465-nucleotide ribosomal RNA is filed under the name Vreelandella stevensii. RNAcentral's name for it is "partial 16S ribosomal RNA". It matches the Rfam family "Bacterial small subunit ribosomal RNA", at positions 338 to 795 of the family's 1533-position model. The record is from RNAcentral. Lineage: Bacteria; Pseudomonadati; Pseudomonadota; Gammaproteobacteria; Oceanospirillales; Halomonadaceae.
CCUACGGGAGGCAGCAGUGGGGAAUAUUGGACAAUGGGGGGAACCCUGAUCCAGCCAUGCCGCGUGUGUGAAGAAGGCCCUCGGGUUGUAAAGCACUUUCAGUGAGGAAGAACGCCUGGUGGUUAAUACCCAUCAGGAAAGACAUCACUCACAGAAGAAGCACCGGCUAACUCCGUGCCAGCAGCCGCGGUAAUACGGAGGGUGCGAGCGUUGAUCGGAAUUACUGGGCGUAAAGCGCGCGUAGGUGGCUUGAUAAGCCGGUUGUGAAAGCCCCGGGCUCAACCUGGGAACGGCAUCCGGAACUGUCAAGCUAGAGUGCAGGAGAGGAAGGUAGAAUUCCCGGUGUAGCGGUGAAAUGCGUAGAGAUCGGGAGGAAUACCAGUGGCGAAGGCGGCCUUCUGGACUGACACUGACACUGAGGUGCGAAAGCGUGGGUAGCAAACAGGAUUAGAUACCCUAGUAGUC